This 1352-nucleotide ribosomal RNA is filed under the name uncultured bacterium. RNAcentral describes it as "bacterial SSU rRNA". It matches the Rfam family "Bacterial small subunit ribosomal RNA", at positions 28 to 1381 of the family's 1533-position model. The record is from RNAcentral.
AUUGAACGCUGGCGGCAUGCCUUACACAUGCAAGUCGAACGGUAACGGGUCCUUCGGGAUGCCGACGAGUGGCGAACGGGUGAGUAAUAUAUCGGAACGUGCCCAGUAGUGGGGGAUAACUGCUCGAAAGAGCAGCUAAUACCGCAUACGACCUGAGGGUGAAAGGGGGGGAUCGCAAGACCUCUCGCUAUUGGAGCGGCCGAUAUCAGAUUAGCUAGUUGGUGGGGUAAAGGCCUACCAAGGCAACGAUCUGUAGUUGGUCUGAGAGGACGACCAGCCACACUGGGACUGAGACACGGCCCAGACUCCUACGGGAGGCAGCAGUGGGGAAUUUUGGACAAUGGGCGCAAGCCUGAUCCAGCAAUGCCGCGUGCAGGAAGAAGGCCUUCGGGUUGUAAACUGCUUUUGUCAGGGAAGAAAUCUUCUGGGCUAAUACCCCGGGAGGAUGACGGUACCUGAAGAAUAAGCACCGGCUAACUACGUGCCAGCAGCCGCGGUAAUACGUAGGGUGCGAGCGUUAAUCGGAAUUACUGGGCGUAAAGCGUGCGCAGGCGGCUUUGCAAGACAGAUGUGAAAUCCCCGGGCUCAACCUGGGAACUGCAUUUGUGACUGCAAGGCUAGAGUACGGCAGAGGGGGAUGGAAUUCCGCGUGUAGCAGUGAAAUGCGUAGAUAUGCGGAGGAACACCAAUGGCGAAGGCAAUCCCCUGGGCCUGUACUGACGCUCAUGCACGAAAGCGUGGGGAGCAAACAGGAUUAGAUACCCUGGUAGUCCACGCCCUAAACGAUGUCAACUGGUUGUUGGACGGCUUGCUGUUCAGUAACGAAGCUAACGCGUGAAGUUGACCGCCUGGGGAGUACGGCCGCAAGGUUGAAACUCAAGGGAAUUGACGGGGACCCGCACAAGCGGUGGAUGAUGUGGUUUAAUUCGAUGCAACGCGAAAAACCUUACCUACCCUUGACAUGUCAAGAAUUCUGCAGAGAUGUGGAAGUGCUCGAAAGAGAACUUGAACACAGGUGCUGCAUGGCCGUCGUCAGCUCGUGUCGUGAGAUGUUGGGUUAAGUCCCGCAACGAGCGCAACCCUUGUCAUUAGUUGCUACGCAAGAGCACUCUAAUGAGACUGCCGGUGACAAACCGGAGGAAGGUGGGGAUGACGUCAGGUCCUCAUGGCCCUUAUGGGUAGGGCUACACACGUCAUACAAUGGCCGGUACAGAGGGCUGCCAACCCGCGAGGGGGAGCCAAUCCCAGAAAACCGGUCGUAGUCCGGAUCGUAGUCUGCAACUCGACUGCGUGAAGUCGGAAUCGCUAGUAAUCGCGGAUCAGCUUGCCGCGGUGAAUACGUUCCCGGGUCU